AUGGUGAUUAAGGAAUAAUGUCCAUGUGAUGUGCUGUGUGACCGCGACAGCUAGUGACUGCACCAAAAAGAUAUGUGCACGUUUAUCUUUCACCAACAGCUCCACCCAAUAUUAGUGUCACAUGCAGACGCUGGAGUCAACAGUCAACCCCUUCACAAGACUACCUACCAUGCUUACACACGGAAACAAACAGGGGGUGAAAGAAAAAAAUGUUCUCCAAGUCUCCAACCCCAAUCAUCAAAGUGCUCACUAUAAAUGGACAUGGAUCUCAGUACAAACAGCAAAGCACAGGACUACCUAAGCUUCUUUUCAGGACCAUGGAGCGCAAGCAGGAGCAGAAGAAGAGCUUCGGGGAAGAAGCAGCCAUGGCCAUGGAGGCCUCCUCCUCGGCGUUGAGGUCGCUGCUGCACAGCAUGGCCCAACGAUGCGCCAGCUACCUGGGUCUCGCGGCUCCCCUAGCAUCCGACUACUCCCGGUCCCUUGGCGCUGGCGGCGAUGACCUGAAACCAACCGGCGCUGCCGAUGGCGUUGUGCCCCCGCCGGAGGAGGAGUUCACGGUCGUCCAGGUGCAGUCGAGAUCGAUGGUGUUUCAGAACAACCGCAAAAUAGAUCAAGGAGUCGGUGGACGUGGUGGGAUCAAAUAUUGAUUAACCGACACAGCUUCCUUGUAGGCUCCUCAUGUGCCUCUACCUCCAGUAAUCAUCGAUGUUUGGGUCUGAAUUAUCCACCAGCUAGUAUAUAUAUUUUCCAAAUAAUUUCUACUGUUGUCACCUUGGUUCAAUACGGUAUAAAAGCCGUCUUUUAUUUAUGGGAAACGUUUCGCUUCAGUGCGCCGGCCGAAUGCUCGGCCGGUCGCUUUCCCAGCGGCGCUCACGGGGCACACAGACAGCUCAUCCCACCCACCAUUUUAUUUUUUUCCACACAUCCUGAAGCUUAUCCGCGCACUUCUCUUCUCCCCUACCUCGCAUCUCUCCUCCCAAAUUCCAAUCCUCCAUGAAAUUCCUCCCUCUUUUUUCCUUUGACUCCACGCCGGCGAGCAAGCCACUCCGGUUAGCCAGCACCACCCCUUGAACCUUCCCCUUAGUCCCCCACGAUCCAUGGUCACAGACGGUGGGUCUCUGGAACUGGCGAUGUGCUGUGCUGCAAGGGGGCAGGUUCCCUUGCUGGAACCAUCGCCGUGCUGGUAGCUCUACGGCCGCCGUGCUGGAAUCCGGCCACACCCGUGCUGGAAUCGGUGAAGAAAAUUGCUGGAACCGGCUAUUCUAUUUGUUACAACCGAUGAUUCAAGACGUUGCAUCCAUGGUGGUGGAGAAGAGGGCGAGCGCGGGAGACCAACGCGAGCGCGGAGGCGUGGGCGAGGACGUAGGUGCGGCCGCGCCUCGCCGGAGCGCACACACGCAGGGCUGGGGCAGAGACAUCCCGGAUCGAAAUAUGAAACUGAAGAAGAGGGGGGAAGAAGAAGAUGACGUGGGGGUACGAAUCGAACGGUUGUUAGGUGCUGGAUCGCACGGCUGGGCAGCGACAGGCCCAAAUUUGGGCCGGUGCGCCGGCGCCUAUCAGGCCCCUUUAUUUAUACUGAAAUGUUUAGUAAAAUUUGUGCAACUUGCCUUGUGCGAUUUUAAAAGGAAUGAAAUCCUAGUUUCCACAGGAAAUUA
This is a long non-coding RNA of Aegilops tauschii subsp. strangulata, 1655 nucleotides long. RefSeq lists it as uncharacterized. The record is from RefSeq and is a predicted model, not a curated record. NCBI's taxonomy places the organism in Eukaryota, Viridiplantae, Streptophyta, Magnoliopsida, Poales, Poaceae.